Molecule: transfer RNA, 77 nt
Filed under: Caudoviricetes sp.
Lineage: Duplodnaviria; Heunggongvirae; Uroviricota; Caudoviricetes
Description: tRNA-Lys
Rfam family: tRNA
About the family: Transfer RNA (tRNA) molecules are approximately 80 nucleotides in length. Their secondary structure includes four short double-helical elements and three loops (D, anti-codon, and T loops). Further hydrogen bonds mediate the characteristic L-shaped molecular structure. tRNAs have two regions of fundamental functional importance: the anti-codon, which is responsible for specific mRNA codon recognition, and the 3' end, to which the tRNAs corresponding amino acid is attached (by aminoacyl-tRNA synthetases). tRNAs cope with the degeneracy of the genetic code in two manners: having more than one tRNA (with a specific anti-codon) for a particular amino acid; and 'wobble' base-pairing, i.e. permitting non-standard base-pairing at the 3rd anti-codon position.
Source: RNAcentral
UUAGCGGUAGCUCAAAGGUAGAGUGUUCUCAUUUUAGGUACACGAGAAAGGUGGAGGUUCGAUUCCUCUCCGCUAAA